RNAcentral lists this small nuclear RNA (22 nucleotides) under Arabidopsis thaliana (thale cress). Its description in RNAcentral is "snRNA_09440". The record is from RNAcentral. Lineage: Eukaryota; Viridiplantae; Streptophyta; Magnoliopsida; Brassicales; Brassicaceae.
GAACAGCCUCUGGUCGAUGGAA